Long non-coding RNA from Ovis aries (sheep), 39 nucleotides. It matches the Rfam family "GNAS antisense RNA 1 conserved region 3". The record is from Rfam. Lineage: Eukaryota; Metazoa; Chordata; Mammalia; Artiodactyla; Bovidae.
CAAUAGAUUUGGGAUUUUUCAAAUUCUGGUAGCCAGUCA